CCGACAUGUUGUUGUUCACUGUCGUUUGAUCAAAUAGGCCGCCAUGUUUGAGAUGGCUGCCGGUGUUGUGCCAAAAACUGAUGUCCAAUGUUUCCGUGUAUUUUUUAUGUGUAAUAUCUUUACGUAUGUUGGUAAAUAGACUUCGGUGAACAGCGUUUACAAAAGGGUUAUAUAUAGAAUUAAAAAAUUAUCUGUUUUUUCAAGUAUCUUUACAACUCUGUGUUAUUGUACUUACAUUAUAACCAAUCCGGUCCUUUAUCCCCACUUAAAAUAUUUUUACUGAACUAUUGUAAUAUUUGCUGCCAUUGCUGCUGUCCUCUUGGCCAACUUACUCUUACAAAAGACAUUUUUAAUGUUAAUGAGAUUUUUUUAACUGCAUAAAUAAAGGUUAUAUAAAAGUCACUGCCAAAAACUGAUUGCCUUCUAGCUUGUUACACGAAUGUUGUUUGUGGCUCAGUAUGACUUUGUGUCAUCCAUGAGGGAUGCAUUUGACAUAUGUUUCACAUAUUAUAGCCCAACAAGUUACUUAUAGCAGUUCAAAUACGAGCAAUCACUUUUUGGCAAAUACCGGAAAUCAGUUUUUGGCAGACAAUCACUUUUUGGUACAACACCCCGGAAUUGCUGCUUUGUACUUUAUUGACAGACCUUACAAAAUCCUCUCAGACAUCCAGUCCUGGAAGAUUGUGACAUGUUGUAAACACACCUGAAUGCUUCAGAUCACCAAACUGUUGAAACCUCUGCACUCAAGGACUACAAAGCCUCGCGCAAAUCAUCGUUUUCAUGAUUGUCAUGAGACACUUUGCAGGACUCUCAAACUUGUGGAGACCUAUACAUGAUGAACACACACACAGCACAACAUUUGUUUUCAUAACAUAAAGAAAUGAAUCAAUAUUUCUGUAUAAAAGGAUACAUUUUAGGAUUUUUGUAAAAAAUAAUAAAAACACCAGAAAUUUUCAAGAAUUUUUAUUAUUUUACAUGUAUACACACGUACAUAUAACCCAUUAUUCUAUCAUUUGAGAAACUCAUUUAGGUAUAAAAACAGUUUUUCGCGUAAUAGCCAAAGAACCCCUCACAUAUGGAAAAAUAUUACAACAGGGUGAAACAAACGAGGCUUUUGUGAUUACAGCUGAGCAAAUCCACUUAGUGAAAGGCAAACUAGCAAAAAGUGACACCCUAAAUUUUUAUAAUCUCUACAUCACUCACAG
Molecule: long non-coding RNA, 1205 nt
Organism: Pelmatolapia mariae (spotted tilapia)
Lineage: Eukaryota; Metazoa; Chordata; Actinopteri; Cichliformes; Cichlidae
Exons: 3
Source: RefSeq, a predicted model, not a curated record